This is a long non-coding RNA of Oncorhynchus gorbuscha (pink salmon), 691 nucleotides long. RefSeq lists it as uncharacterized. The transcript is spliced from 3 exons. Lineage: Eukaryota; Metazoa; Chordata; Actinopteri; Salmoniformes; Salmonidae. The record is from RefSeq and is a predicted model, not a curated record.
CAAGCCUGUACCCUGCACUGACAGCAUAAGGAUGACUAGAGAAAGCCUAGUUGGUAUGGUGUUGUGAAGAUCAUAUUCAGACCCAGUUGAUGAUGGAUGAUGUAGAGCUCACAGCCCGGACAAACAGACCCACUGCACCUUGUUGAGCUCAUCCUCCAGAACACAAGUGUCCAGGCCCAGCUUGGCGAAGCUGCCUUCCUUCACCGUCUUGAUGACACCGUAAAUCUCAGUGUAGUCUACGGUGGACAGCUGGGAGAAGUUCACGUGUGGCAGAAUGAGGUCAUGACUCAGCACGUUAGAGUUCAGGCAGCCAAUGAUCUUCUCUGCAUUUCUGAAGGGACCACCGCGAAUCAUGUUAGUGCACAAGAUGAAACGUACUGCAAAAGUCCUGACGCUGAUCACAGAGAGGGCACGAUAAUAAAUGUAUGGUGUGAGCAAAGAGUGGUUUCAUUCUGGAUUAGACAUCAUACAUUUCCUCCACUAUCACUAGGGGAGAAGAGGCUGGAGAAGGUGAUGACUCCCCCGAAGCAGGCCAAGGGCAGAAAACACCUGUGUGGCUGCCUCUCUCCACACCUGGGGCUCCAGCAUCUUCUCCAGCUUGAACACACUAGAACACACUGAUGGACUGGUUGGGGCCUGUGCUCCCAUCUGUCCUGAGCUGCCAGAGUCUCCAGUCUGUCCUGAGCUGCCA